This 320-nucleotide ribosomal RNA is filed under the name uncultured bacterium. RNAcentral describes it as "bacterial SSU rRNA". It matches the Rfam family "Bacterial small subunit ribosomal RNA", at positions 470 to 789 of the family's 1533-position model. The record is from RNAcentral.
CGACGGUACCUGACUAAGAAGCCCCGGCUAACUACGUGCCAGCAGCCGCGGUAAUACGUAGGGGGCAAGCGUUAUCCGGAUUUACUGGGUGUAAAGGGAGCGUAGACGGAAUUGCAAGUCUGAUGUGAAAGGCAUGGGCUCAACCCGUGGACUGCAUUGGAAACUGUGAUUCUUGAGUGCCGGAGGGGUAAGCGGAAUUCCUGGUGUAGCGGUGAAAUGCGUAGAUAUCAGGAGGAACACCGGUGGCGAAGGCGGCUUACUGGACGGCAACUGACGUUGAGGCUCGAAGGCGUGGGGAGCAAACAGGAUUAGAUACCCUG